AGGGCACCACCAGGAGUGGAGCCUGCGGCUUAAUUUGACUCAACACGGGAAAACUCACCCGGCCCGGACACUGGAAGGAUUGACAGAUUGAGAGCUCUUUCUUGAUUCAGUGGGUGGUGGUGCAUGGCCGUUCUUAGUUGGUGGAGUGAUUUGUCUGGUUAAUUCCGAUAACGAACGAGACUCUAGCCUAUUAAAUAGAUCGUUGGCUUACAAACGCCGGCGAGACUUCUUAGAGGGACAGGCGGCGAUUCAGCCGCACGAAACAGAGCAAUAACAGGUCUGUGAUGCCCUUAGAUGUCCGGGGCCGCACGCGCGCUACACUGAAGUGAUCAGCGUGCAUUUUGAAACCUACUCUGUCAAGAGUGGGGGACCCAAUGAACCUUCUUCGUGAUUGGGAUAGGGGAUUGUAAUUAUUCCCCUUGAACGAGGAAUUCCCAGUAAGCGCGAAUCAUAAGUUUGCGCUGAUUACGUCCCUGCCCUUUGUACACACCGCCCGUCGCUACUACCGAUUGAAUGCUU
RNAcentral lists this ribosomal RNA (519 nucleotides) under uncultured eukaryote. RNAcentral's name for it is "SSU rRNA". It matches the Rfam family "Eukaryotic small subunit ribosomal RNA", at positions 1161 to 1698 of the family's 1831-position model. The record is from RNAcentral.